RNAcentral lists this ribosomal RNA (1290 nucleotides) under Stilicoderus aquilinus. RNAcentral describes it as "16S ribosomal RNA". The stretch from base 1042 to 1200 matches the Rfam family "Archaeal large subunit ribosomal RNA", at positions 2542 to 2701 of the family's 2987-position model. Lineage: Eukaryota; Metazoa; Arthropoda; Insecta; Coleoptera; Staphylinidae. The record is from RNAcentral.
UUCAAUUUAAUUUGAUUGAUAAUAAUUAUUUAUUUAUUUUAAAAAAAAUAAUUUAAAUUUUUAGUAAUGUAUAAAAAAAAAAUGGUUUUAAUUAUAGAAAAUUAGUAUAGUGAUAGAAUUUAAUAAUAAGUUUAAAAGUAAAUUUUAUAGAUUGUACCUUGUGUAUCAGGGCUUAUUAAUUAUAAAUUAUAAAUUUUAAUUAUCUCGAUUUUAUAAGAGUUAAUAAGAUAUAAAUUUUAUUGUAAAAUAAAUAUUUAUAAUAUUUUAUUAGUAAUGAAACGUUAUUCGUUUAUAAAAAUAUCUAGUUUUUAAAGAAAAAAGUUUAAUUUUAUAUUUAAAGGUAAUUUAUUUAUUUAAAAUUAAAUUAUUGUUAAAUAUUUAUAUUUUUUAGGAUAAGCUAAAAAAUAUAUUAUUAUAAAUAUUUUUAUGUUUAAUAAUUUAUAGAAUUAGAAUUUUUCAAUUUUAAUAUGUUAUAAUUAAUUAUAAUAAAUUUAAAUUUAUGUAAGAAUAUUUUAAUUAAUUUAUUUAAAUAUUUUAUAAAAUUUUUUAAUAUAAGUAUUAAUGAUAAAAUUAGUAUAAUUAAAUGUAAAUUUAUUUAAUAAAUAAAGGUUAAAUAAAGGAAUUCGGCAAAAUCAUUUCUUGCCUGUUUAUUAAAAACAUGUCUUUUUGAGAAUAAUUUAAAGUCUAACCUGCCCACUGAAAUUUAAAUGGCCGCAGUAUUUUGACUGUGCAAAGGUAGCAUAAUAAUUAGUUUUUUAAUUAAAAGCUAGAAUGAAUGGUUGGACAAAGAAAUAACUGUCUCUAUUUAAUUUUAUUAGAAUUUAAUUUUUAAGUUAAAAAGCUUAAAUUUUAUUUAAAGACGAGAAGACCCUAUAGAGUUUUAUAUUUAUUAUUUUUAAAUUUUUAAGAAUUUAAUUUUUUAUUUUUUAAUAAAUAUUUUAUUGGGGUGAUAGGAAAAUUUAAUUAACUUUUUUUAAAAAAUAACAUUUAUUUAUGAGUAUUUGAUCCAUUAUUAUGAUUAUAAGAUUAAAUUACCUUAGGGAUAACAGCGUAAUUUUUUUUAAGAGUUCUUAUCGAAAAAAAAGUUUGCGACCUCGAUGUUGGAUUAAAUUAAUAAUUUGGUGUAGUAGCUAAAUAUUUAGGUCUGUUCGACCUUUAAAAUUUUACAUGAUCUGAGUUUAAACCGGUGUGAGCCAGGUUGGUUUCUAUCUUAAAUAAAUAAUUAUAUUUUAGUACGAAAGGACCAAAUAUAAAUAAAAUUUAUUUUUUAUGAAUAUUAUUAUUAUUAUU